This 1012-nucleotide long non-coding RNA is filed under the name Buteo japonicus. RNAcentral describes it as "lncRNA (ENSBJAG00000007895.1)". The record is from RNAcentral. Lineage: Eukaryota; Metazoa; Chordata; Aves; Accipitriformes; Accipitridae.
AAGUCAAAGGGGGGAGAGAAAGAAAAAAACAGAAAGGAAACACCACCACCACCACCCCAAACUUCUUGUGCUACACUGCUCCCUUCUAGGAGUCACGUCUACAGCCUAUGGUACAGACCCUCCAUCAAUGUCAACCAAGGUAUUAGUGUGUGGGACAUCUACCUUAGGGCCACAUACUCUUAAAUUCAGUGCUCUUGCUCCAAAGCACUAUGGCAGAGAAACAGGUAUCUGGGCAUCGCUGCUUAAUGGGGCAGGAGCAUAGUUAAUGCUGGCUCUAAUCACAAACUAUGUGGUCUUGUCAUGCUACGCUCUUAACUACAUACAGCCCCUCUCACCUCUGAUGUAAUCUCUUGCCUUAUACUUAAUAAAACAGAAAAGGCUGGUUUAACUUUGUAUGGGGGUGGGGAAUAUUUAAGGAUGUUUUUUCUCCAGAACAAAUCUCAGUGUCUCAAGAUAGCAACAGACUGUUGACCAUUAGGUAUCCAAGACUUAAAAAAAAAAAAAAAAAAAAAAAAGAAAAAAGGGGGAAAAGGGGGAAAAAAGAAAAAAAGGGGAAAAAAAGAGUUAAGCCAUCAAAACCUUUUCAACUGCAUGAAUUGUGUAUGUUAAGAGGCCUGGAAACUGCUUUAUGUGUUUCACCUCCUGCUGUGCAGUUUUUAUGCUGACAGGACCGAAGAUAGCUUUUCUACCUCAUAAUAUCACAGGGAAAAUUCUAUAUUAAACUAAGACAUCUCUGAUCGUAUGCUAAAAGUGCACAUGUAACAUGCUCAUGAUAAGAUCGUUUAUCAUUAGAGACAAAUUUAAAAUAUAGUUGUUUUGAUUUGUUCCAGAUUCCAAAAAAUCAUCUAUUUGUUGAACUAGUUCAUAUAUGCCUUGAACUCUCAGUGUAUAGGAGUUGCAAAGCACAAGGUGAAACUUGUCUGAAAACAGAUUUAAUUUGUUUGUGGUGAAAAAUGCAUGUGAACACAUUUUAUAUGACUGCUACUCACACCUGGAGCAUCAGCUCAGGCAC